This 498-nucleotide ribosomal RNA is filed under the name uncultured bacterium. RNAcentral describes it as "partial 16S ribosomal RNA". It matches the Rfam family "Bacterial small subunit ribosomal RNA", at positions 28 to 508 of the family's 1533-position model. The record is from RNAcentral.
GAUGAACGCUGGCGGCGUGCCUAAUACAUGCAAGUCGAGCGAACGGACGAGAAGCUUGCUUCUCUGAUGUUAGCGGCGGACGGGUGAGUAACACGUGGAUAACCUACCUAUAAGACUGGGAUAACUUCGGGAAACCGUAGCUAAUACCGGAUAAUAUUUUGAACCGCAUGGUUCAAAAGUGAAAGACGGUCUUGCUGUCACUUAUAGAUGGAUCCGCGCUGCAUUAGCUAGUUGGUAAGGUAACGGCUUACCAAGGCAACGAUGCAUAGCCGACCUGAGAGGGUGAUCGGCCACACUGGAACUGAGACACGGUCCAGACUCCUACGGGAGGCAGCAGUAGGGAAUCUUCCGCAAUGGGCGAAAGCCUGACGGAGCAACGACGCGUGAGUGAUGAAGGUCUUCGGAUCGUAAAACUCUGUUAUUAGGGAAGAACAUAUGUGUAAGUAACUGGGCACAUCUUGACGGUACCUAAUCAGAAAGCCACGGCUAACUACGUGC